UGGAGGUGAUGAACCGUCUUAGCCUGACUUUGUGAAGUGGAGGCAAAAAAACUGAUUUAAUGAGCCUGAUCC
This is a small nucleolar RNA of Choloepus didactylus (southern two-toed sloth), 72 nucleotides long. Lineage: Eukaryota; Metazoa; Chordata; Mammalia; Pilosa; Megalonychidae. The record is from RefSeq and is a predicted model, not a curated record.